This is a long non-coding RNA of Bubalus bubalis (water buffalo), 390 nucleotides long. RefSeq lists it as uncharacterized. NCBI's taxonomy places the organism in Eukaryota, Metazoa, Chordata, Mammalia, Artiodactyla, Bovidae. The record is from RefSeq and is a predicted model, not a curated record. The transcript is spliced from 3 exons.
UCCCUGUACCUGUAGGAACAAAUGCUGCAUAAAUCAUAGCAGCUGGAAAGUGCAAUGUGCCUAAAGAAGGUGAAGAGAGUCUUCAAAACGCAAAGCAAAAGAGUGGACCCACAGGAUAACCAAACAGAAGAGGCUGGCCCAAGCCAGUUUAUUUCAUCUGCUAAUGAAGUGAGGGGUGGUUUUCUUCUGAAGACAUUACCACUCCAUCAGGUAAAAUUUAAGUCCACAGAUGAUUCUGAUCCACCUGGGAGCCAAACCUUCACCUGCCCAGUGAUGACUUGACCAAACUUCUUCAACAGUCACUCAUCCAAAUCCACCAGCUGAGAGCCACAGCACAAAGGAUCCCUUUGUAACCAAGUAUUUUAUAUGAAUGCAAAUAAAAAUGAUUUU